AUGCCUAUCAAAGUGGAGGCUGCUGUGGAGCGAGCCUGCAGUCUUGGAGUUAGGCAGGCGACAGGGAUGUCGAUGUGGUGGCGGCGCAGUGGAGCUGCUACGACGGAGGCAAAACGAGACCACCAACACCGGCAAGAGCGGGCAUCCGAAGCAGUGUCGAGUGAGGAUGGGAGAGGGAAACCCACCUCCAACCCGCACUCCACCGGUCGUUCCGCGGGAGGGAAAUUUCCCCUCGCGCUCCCUCCCGUCGGACGCCUCGUCGAUCCCGUCGCCCCCGCGGUGAGCCAUGGAGGCGCCGCCGGACUCCUACGUCGCCCCGGUCGGCCCGCCCGCGUCCUCCCUCCCUCCGCCCGUCGCCCCGCCCCCGGCCUCGGCCUCGGUGAUGCUUGCGCCGGCCCCGUCCUCGCUCCCUCCGCCCGCGCCGGAGCGGCGCCGAAGGUGAGUAAGAAGCCCUCCCUUGGGUCGAAGGGGGCAGCGGCGCCGAAGGUGAAGAAGGCCACCUCCAGGAAGAAGCCGACGCCCGCCCCGGUCGCCCCGUCCGCCCCGGUCCCCGCACCUCUGCCCGUCGUGCACGAGGUGCUCGACGGAAUGCCUGCCCCACCAAUGUCGUUCAUGGGGCUUCUCGAAGAAGUGGAGGUGGACAUCGGGGCUCCUUCUCUCGAACCCUUUGGGUUUGGUGAUGACUUGCAGGAAGAGGGUGACGAGGAGGAGGAAGGGGAAGAUGAGGAGGAGGUGACCGAGAUAGAGGAGGAUAUGUUCGCCGCCGUUGCAAAACCCACCGUGCGCUCGACAAACUAUAGCGAGGACGAAGAUAUUCUCUUGGUUCGUGCUUGGGCACAUGUGGGGUUGGAUGCAAGCACCGGUACCGAUCAAACCGGUAAACGCUAUUGGCAACGCAUAGAGGACUUCUAUUGCAAGAUCAAGCCGAAGACCGAUGGGUACAUCCCUCGUAGUUACCGGUCGCUUCAAGGCCGGUGGGAGUUGAUGAAGCCCCAUUGUGCUCGUUGGAGUGCGGCAAUGGACCAAGUGAAGGAUGCACCGCCUAAUGGAACCAUGGAGAGUGGCUAUAAUCCAUGUAUGCCUAGCUGGCUAGCUCAGAUGCACGUCACUUUCACUCCCGGUUACUCCAUCCAUGCAUUUCCCCGGGACGGGACGGAGGGAGGACGAGACUUGCCUCAGUUGUUUGCUCCCUCGACGUGUGUCCAUCCGUGCUCCUGCUGCGGAACACGAUGCCCGGAACGGCACAUUUGGGCAACCGGCGCGCGACGCAAACUUCUGCCCAAAGCCGCACACAUUGGCCACCGGCGCCCAUCCUCCAUCCCUGACCGGCCAUCCCGAUCGGAUAAACCCGCGUCACGCGCGCGCCACCGAAGAACACCAACCCCCGCGCCGCGCGGUGGAACACCAUUCCUCGCCUCCCGACACAAGCAGAUUCCUUUCCUUCCUCCUCCACCGCACCGCACCGCAUCUCCGUCCGCCACGGCGCCGCCGCGCCCGCCGGUCUCCCCACCCUCCCCUCCUUCCUUGCGUGCCGCCCGCGGGUCACUUCCUCCCCAUGCAAUCACUCGAUUCCCGAGCAGCGGUGGCACGCAGACACAGCUAACCGCUGCAGCUACUCUAUUCCGUCUCGUGCGACUUUAA
Molecule: ribosomal RNA, 1641 nt
Filed under: Triticum aestivum (bread wheat)
Lineage: Eukaryota; Viridiplantae; Streptophyta; Magnoliopsida; Poales; Poaceae
Description: partial small subunit ribosomal RNA
Source: RNAcentral